CAGUAGCCACGGUAAUACGGAGGGUGCAAGCGUUAAUCGGAAUUACUGGGCGUAAAGCGCACGCAGGCGGUUUGUUAAGUCAGAUGUGAAAUCCCCGAGCUUAACUUGGGAACUGCAUUUGAAACUGGCAAGCUAGAGUCUUGUAGAGGGGGGUAGAAUUCCAGGUGUAGCGGUGAAACGCGUAGAGAUCUGGAGGAAUACCGGUGGCGAAGGCGGCCCCCUGGACAAAGACUGACGCUCAGGUGCGAAAGCGUGGGGAGCAAACAGGAUUAGAUACCCCGGUAGUCCCUGUCUCUUAUAC
This 301-nucleotide ribosomal RNA is filed under the name uncultured bacterium. Its description in RNAcentral is "partial 16S ribosomal RNA". It matches the Rfam family "Bacterial small subunit ribosomal RNA", at positions 509 to 807 of the family's 1533-position model. The record is from RNAcentral.